CAGUCGCCGCGGUAACACGAAGGGUGCAAGCGUUACUCGGAAUUACUGGGCGUAAAGCGUGCGUAGGUGGUGGUUUAAGUCCGUUGUGAAAGCCCUGGGCUCAACCUGGGAAUUGCAGUGGAUACUGGGUCACUAGAGUGUGGUAGAGGAUAGUGGAAUUUCCGGUGUAGCAGUGAAAUGCGUAGAGAUCGGAAGGAACAUCUGUGGCGAAGGCGACUAUCUGGGCCAACACUGACACUGAGGCACGAAAGCGUGGGGAGCAAACAGGAUUAGAUACCCGUGUAGUCCCUGUCUCUUAUAC
Molecule: ribosomal RNA, 301 nt
Filed under: uncultured bacterium
Lineage: Bacteria
Description: partial 16S ribosomal RNA
Rfam family: Bacterial small subunit ribosomal RNA
Source: RNAcentral